CGUUCGGGCGCGCGUUCCGCUCGUGCAUCAGCGCGGCGAUGUGAUCGUGCUGCGCCCCGGUCUGCUCCUCCAAGGCGUCGAUCCUGCGGCGCAGUUCUGCGCGCGCGUCGUCGGCAGGA
Molecule: unclassified non-coding RNA, 119 nt
Filed under: Sorangium cellulosum So ce56
Lineage: Bacteria; Pseudomonadati; Myxococcota; Polyangiales; Polyangiaceae
Source: RNAcentral